UACGUAGGGUGCGAGCGUUAAUCGGAAUUACUGGGCGUAAAGCGUGCGCAGGCGGUUUUGCAAGCCGGAUGUGAAAUCCCCGGGCUUAACCUGGGAAUGGCAUUUGGGACUGCAAGGCUGGAGUGCGGCAGAGGAGACUGGAAUUCCUGGUGUAGCAGUGAAAUGCGUAGAUAUCAGGAGGAACACCGAUGGCGAAGGCAGGUCUCUGGGCUGACACUGACGCUCAUGCACGAAAGCGUGGGGAGCGAACGGG
This 253-nucleotide ribosomal RNA is filed under the name uncultured bacterium. RNAcentral's name for it is "partial 16S ribosomal RNA". It matches the Rfam family "Bacterial small subunit ribosomal RNA", at positions 524 to 776 of the family's 1533-position model. The record is from RNAcentral.